GCGAAGAAGAGCGCGGCCGUCUUGGAGAGGGAACGAGAGGAGCAGCUUUCAAAAAUCUUCAAGGACCUCAACGAAGCCGUC
Molecule: ribosomal RNA, 81 nt
Filed under: uncultured eukaryote
Lineage: Eukaryota
Description: partial 5.8S ribosomal RNA
Source: RNAcentral